RNAcentral lists this transfer RNA (79 nucleotides) under Acinetobacter baumannii PR07. RNAcentral's name for it is "tRNA-Asn". Lineage: Bacteria; Pseudomonadati; Pseudomonadota; Gammaproteobacteria; Moraxellales; Moraxellaceae. The record is from RNAcentral.
CCUAAAAUCCCUUUCNAGUCGGUAGAGCGACGGACUGUUAAUCCGCAGGUCCCUGGUUCGAGCCCAGGUUGGAGAGCCA